UGGGUUGUGCGAGGAAUCCCAGCGGUGGUUCAUGUGUGAACAAAUUGCCCACCACGGGAUCUCCCACGUCGAUUAUCUUCUUUUUUCCCUUUUUCUUUUUCUUGUUCCUCAAUUCAGCAACCCAUUUUCUUUCUCUCGUAUUUUCCUUUCCCUCUUAAUCACCUCCUCUGAGCCCCGUUAUCUUUUGUUUCCCUUUUUGUGAUUUUUGUUUCCCUGCACAAUCUCCUUCCUUGCCUUCCUCUUUCUUCAUUGCCUGCUUCCUUCCUUCCAUUUUUUCUUUCUUUUCUGAGUCAAUCUCAACACGUCUACUUCUGGCGUCUGGCGUCUCGACGAUAGGGCUAUCUCAUUGUCAAAACUUGGAUUGCUGUCGUCAGGUGUAGCUCCAACUCGUGGUGUUCACUGGAGUCUCCAAUCCAUCCACCAAAUUACGAUGCCGGCGUGACGUUUGUUAAUUUUUAAUUGCGACCACGGUGAGGUAACCUACAUGAUUCAACCCUCCUUGUUUCCCGGAACAGUCAAUUUUAGAAACAUCAAUAGCAAUUUUAAUCCUCUCUGGUUGUCCAUUCCAGUUCGAAGCUACCUUCUCAUUGCGUGAGGAAAACUUCACAAAUUGACAGAGGAAAUUUCCUCUAUUAGGGCUUGGAAACUAAACGAGUAUUCAUGCUUUAGAUGGUUGUGGACCGGGUGGAUUCACGUAUUCUUCCCACCAACGCUUAGGGCUCAACCUUUGUCUCUGUGCUUUGAGGACGGAGAAGUCGAUCACCCUUCCCGCAGGCACAAUCCCGUGAAUCAAACCUUUUCGUCCUUCGGCUUUUGAUGUAUUAAAUCAACAAACUAGAUUAGGUUGUGCCCACUUCUACAUCGCAAGUCAUGCACGUCAAUCCAUCCUCAUUUGUCACUCCAGAUAUCUGAGGACACGUGCGUCUACGUCCCGUUUCCGCCAGUAAUCGGUGACGGGGUCAAAUAGCGAUGCUGCAGAGCACGGCACAUGUCUCGAUUGUGAUUAACGAUUGACACACAGACGAUCCGACCCCAAUCGGCACAAAAACGGCACAGUAAUCGUGGAUCAUUCCGCAGCCGAAGCAGGGAUCAGACAGACGCCACAGCCGUGACGACAAGACAAAUCGACGAGCACGGACGACCGCGCCGAAGCCGGCAAUCAGCGGACAUGGUUUGCACACAGAAUUUGGACAUCCGUCGACGACGACUCCAUUGAUUCGCUUUCUCUCGCAGUGGCGUACGAGGUUGCAGAUAGGGAGGGAUAAUGCCGCACAUGCAUUCGCGUAGAUUGGAAUCUUCGAUUUUGUCUGCGUCUCCUGCAAAUUGGAUCGCUGAUCAGGCCUUGAAGCCUCGGGGGCCGGUGCCUCGUUUCCACACCGUGGGAUCCUACGCCCAAGUUGCAAUGGAGAUCGGCAGACACGGAGUUCGGAUUGCACGCUGCACUCUCAUUGCGAUAGAGAGACUCAAAUGCUCCGGGGAAUGUGGUAGACAUCGUUUCGUGACUAGUAAGUCAAAGGUGUCUUGGAAAGGGGUUCAGUGGAGUCAGUUCCCUUACACAUGAAAAAAAAAGGUAAAGUUAACCCCAACAGCUGGUCCUUAACUGAAAGCUUGGUUUGGUUGAGGAAAAAAAAACCUGUAUAUAUACACGUACAUGCUAAUAUAAUCAUUAUUGUAUUGAAAUUAUAUUAAUUUCAACAUCAUAAAUAGAUAUUUAAAUUUAA
Non-coding RNA from Physcomitrium patens, 1721 nucleotides. NCBI's taxonomy places the organism in Eukaryota, Viridiplantae, Streptophyta, Bryopsida, Funariales, Funariaceae. The record is from RefSeq and is a predicted model, not a curated record.